UGGGGAAUAUUGCACAAUGGAGGGAACUCUGAUGCAGCGACGCCGCGUGAACGAAGAAGGCUUUCGAGUCGUAAAGUUCUUUUAUAUGGGAAGAUAAUGACGGUACCAUAAGAAAAAGCCCCGGCUAACUACGUGCCAGCAGCCGCGGUAAUACGUAGGGGGCUAGCGUUGUCCGGAAUCACUGGGCGUAAAGGGUUCGCAGGCGGAAAUGCAAGUCAGGUGUAAAAGGCAGUAGCUUAACUACUGUAAGCAUUUGAAACUGCAUAUCUUGAGAAGAGUAGAGGUAAGUAGAAUUGUUAGUGUAGCGGUGAAAUGCGUAGAUAUGAAAAAGAAUGCCGGUGGCGAAGUCGGCUUACUGGGCUCAUUCUGACGCUGAGGAACGAAAGCGUGGGUAGCAAACAGG
This 403-nucleotide ribosomal RNA is filed under the name bacterium. RNAcentral's name for it is "partial 16S ribosomal RNA". It matches the Rfam family "Bacterial small subunit ribosomal RNA", at positions 355 to 776 of the family's 1533-position model. The record is from RNAcentral.